This 27-nucleotide non-coding RNA is filed under the name Homo sapiens (human). Lineage: Eukaryota; Metazoa; Chordata; Mammalia; Primates; Hominidae. The record is from RNAcentral.
GACAGUGGUCCUGUUGAUGUCACCGAU